AUCUCUCAACCCCCCUGUUUUGUAAUGAGACAGGCGUUUGGGCUUGGAUUAUGGCUGCUUGCUGGUCUUUUAGUUAAGACCGGCUCAGCUGAAAUACAAGAGCAACCCAGUUUGAAUGACAACGGUUUGACUCGGCGUAAUAGUAUUAUUUCGCUGAGGACGUUGUGUAUCAAGAUAGUUGGUGCUUCUAAUUCGGCAGAGUGUGAAAGCUCUACCAUCUUAAGC
RNAcentral lists this unclassified non-coding RNA (225 nucleotides) under uncultured Cystobasidiomycetes. RNAcentral's name for it is "sequence contains ITS2". The record is from RNAcentral. Lineage: Eukaryota; Fungi; Basidiomycota; Cystobasidiomycetes.